AAAGUCGGCCAGGCAAUCGCUGGACACGCAAGUGUCGGGAGGAAAGUCCGGGCUCCAUUGGGCGGGAUGCCAGUUAACGGCUGGGUGCUAUACGGUCGCAAGACCCAAGGCAACGGAAAGUGCAACAGAGAACAGACCGCCGAUGGCCUUGAGCUUCGCCGCUGCUUGCAGCGGCAACGGCUCAAGGAUCAGGUAAGGGUGAAACGGCGAGGUAAGAGCUCACCGCGUCCACGGUAACGGCGGACGGCACGGUAAACCCCAUCCGGAGCAAAACCAAAUAGGGAAGCUGAGGCGUGGCCCGCGCUGCUUCCGGGUAGGUUGCUUGAGCCUGUCGGUGACGGCAGGCCUAGAGGAAUGAUUGCCGAACCCCGCAAGGGGGGAACAGAACCCGGCUUAUCGGCCGGCUUUCCAA
RNAcentral lists this RNase P RNA (412 nucleotides) under Rhodocyclales bacterium GT-UBC. RNAcentral describes it as "RNase P RNA component class A". It matches the Rfam family "Bacterial RNase P class A". From Rfam's summary of the family: Ribonuclease P (RNase P) is a ubiquitous endoribonuclease, found in archaea, bacteria and eukarya as well as chloroplasts and mitochondria. Its best characterised activity is the generation of mature 5'-ends of tRNAs by cleaving the 5'-leader elements of precursor-tRNAs. Cellular RNase Ps are ribonucleoproteins. Lineage: Bacteria; Pseudomonadati; Pseudomonadota; Betaproteobacteria; Rhodocyclales. The record is from RNAcentral.